RNAcentral lists this ribosomal RNA (245 nucleotides) under uncultured bacterium. Its description in RNAcentral is "partial small subunit ribosomal RNA". It matches the Rfam family "Bacterial small subunit ribosomal RNA", at positions 26 to 285 of the family's 1533-position model. The record is from RNAcentral.
AGAAUCAACGCUGGCGGCGUGCCUAACACAUGCAAGUCGAACGAGAAAGUGGAGCAAUCCAUGAGUAAAGUGGCGACCGGGUGAGUAACACGUGACUAACCUACCUUCGAGUGGGGGAUAACCCCGGGAAACCGGGGCUAAUACCGCAUAACAUCGCAAGAUCAAAGCAGCAAUGCGCUGGAAGAGGGGGUCGCGGCUGAUUAGCUAGUUGGCGGGGUAACGGCCCACCAAGGCGAAGAUCGGUA